RNAcentral lists this long non-coding RNA (344 nucleotides) under Brassica rapa (field mustard). RNAcentral's name for it is "long non-coding RNA (BRAP_LNC006688)". The record is from RNAcentral. Lineage: Eukaryota; Viridiplantae; Streptophyta; Magnoliopsida; Brassicales; Brassicaceae.
UGAGGUUGAUGUUGAUGUUAUAAUGAGUUUUAUAGGGACUUUCUUGAUGUAAAACUAUACAUUUUUUUUUUGUUUAAUAUGGUAUUUCCAUUUUAAUAUAAGUUACUACCAUUUUAAGAUAGAUGUACAUUUUAGGGAUUUUUGCAAAAUUGACCUAUAACUUAAAGUCAAACACAAAACUAACCUCCUUUUUUUUGAAAAUUGGUUUUGCCCUAUUCACCCCACAAGUUCAUAUAAUUUACGAAAAUGCCAUCCAUUUUUUUUUCUAUUUUUUUUUCGAAAAUGACAUUUUUACUCUCUCACCCUCAUCAUCUUCAAGUAAUUACAAGAUUGCCAUUGUCAUC